GGGGAUUUAGCUCAGUGGUGCAGCGCCUGCCUUCUAAGCACAAGGUCUUGAGUUCAAUCCCCA
This is a non-coding RNA of Heterocephalus glaber (naked mole-rat), 63 nucleotides long. Lineage: Eukaryota; Metazoa; Chordata; Mammalia; Rodentia; Bathyergidae. The record is from Rfam.